RNAcentral lists this ribosomal RNA (263 nucleotides) under Astrothelium macrocarpum. RNAcentral describes it as "partial 18S ribosomal RNA". The record is from RNAcentral. Lineage: Eukaryota; Fungi; Ascomycota; Dothideomycetes; Trypetheliales; Trypetheliaceae.
UCCGUAGGUGAACCUGUAAGUGAUACUCAUCUCCCGCUUAUGUCAUCUCUUCUUCAUACUAACAUACUCUCUAGGCGGAGGGAUCAUUAUAGAGUUAAAGGUAGCUUAGGCUGCCAAAACUCCCAUCCCAUGUUUGUUAUUUUAUUGUUCUUCCGACAUUGCUCUGCUUCGGCCCGUACUUAACAGAGCUUAGUGUUGCGCAUAAUACAGUACAACUUGACUUGUGGCAAAAUACAUCAUAUGAUGUUCAUACCUGCAAGACU